AGUCAAUAGAUACCCUGGUAGUCCACGCCGUAAACGAUGAGUACUAGGUGUAGGAGGUAUCGACUCCUUCUGUGCCGCAGUUAACACAAUAAGUACUCCGCCUGGGAAGUACGGUCGCAAGAUUAAAACUCAAAGGAAUUGACGGGGGCCCGCACAAGCAGCGGAGCAUGUGGUUUAANUUCGAAGCAACGCGAAGAACCUUACCUAGACUUGACAUCUCCUGAAUAGCGCAGAGAUGCGUGAAGCCCUUCGGGGGCAGGAAGACAGGUGGUGCAUGGUUGUCGUCAGCUCGUGUCGUGAGAUGUUAGGUUAAGUCCCGCAACGAGCGCAACCCCUAUUAUUAGUUGCUACCAUUAAGUUGAGCACUCUAAUGAGACUGCCCGGGUUAACCGGGAGGAAGGCGGGGAUGACGUCAAAUCAUCAUGCCCCUUAUGUCUAGGGCUACACACGUGCUACAAUGGUGAGAACAACGAGAUGCAAUACCGCGAGGUGGAGCAAAACUUGAAAACUCAUCUCAGUUCGG
This 523-nucleotide ribosomal RNA is filed under the name uncultured bacterium. RNAcentral describes it as "bacterial SSU rRNA". It matches the Rfam family "Bacterial small subunit ribosomal RNA", at positions 774 to 1296 of the family's 1533-position model. The record is from RNAcentral.